This 74-nucleotide transfer RNA is filed under the name Synechococcus phage S-CAM9. It matches the Rfam family "tRNA". From Rfam's summary of the family: Transfer RNA (tRNA) molecules are approximately 80 nucleotides in length. Lineage: Duplodnaviria; Heunggongvirae; Uroviricota; Caudoviricetes; Pantevenvirales; Kyanoviridae. The record is from Rfam by way of RNAcentral.
CGAAGAGUAGCUCAGUUUGGUAGAGCUCUCGCUUUGGGAGCGAGCGGCCGCAGGUUCAAAUCCUGUCUCUUCGA